UAAACACUUUUUUUGAACAAUAAGUCAAUUAUAUUUGUCAAAGAUUGACCUUGGCUGAGAGCAGAAUUGGAUCAUAAGGAGCUUUUGUCAAUGUCCUCAACAAAAGCACCAUCAGAUUCUGAUACAAGAAUGGUAAAGAAGUACCCUAAACGGCUUAUGGAAGAUGGAAGCGAGCCACAAGUUGGGCAGAUAAAUAACACUUGUCGAAUGUCAAUCUUACACAAAAUCAAGAAGGCAUUACCAGAAGAGUAUGAGAUUGUGAAGGGUGAUCCAUGCAGUAGUGGUAUACACA
Molecule: long non-coding RNA, 292 nt
Organism: Camelina sativa (false flax)
Lineage: Eukaryota; Viridiplantae; Streptophyta; Magnoliopsida; Brassicales; Brassicaceae
Source: RefSeq, a predicted model, not a curated record